UGACUCUCUCUCUCGUCGUUUUGCUUUCAUUCUCUCUUGGAGUGUGCUGAUUUAGGAUCAUCGUAUAUCCUCGAGGGGUUAUUUGGCUAAGAUAGAUUUUGGUUCUUGAUUCGGUGUUUUUCAAGUUUCUCAUCUAUAAAGUAUAAUGUUGGUAUAAUGGUCGGUAUUUAUGAUCAUUAUAUGCGUGGUAUGAACAUUAUGAUUCCUCUCACCCUGCCAUCCACUCUCGAGAUUCAUAUUGAUCAAUAGAUCUCUAGGCCCUGCCAGUUCGCUAAGUAGACUCACUCAACCAAGGGACAACAAAGACUGGAACUCUUCCUGCCAAAAACAAGGGACCUACUUCUCAUUCUAGGAGUUAACAGGACUACAAGCAUAAGAAGAAAUUUGGAUCAGGACAAAGACCUACUACUGCAGUGAAUGCUAUGGAAGUUGAUAACACUGGUAGUUUUGUAGAGAGGUCAAUGAGAGAUUUGUUGGUCCACAACCUGCUUUUACACCUGAUCAAUACAAUUGGAUUUUGAGGUACUUAAUUGAAAUUGCACAUAAUGCUCUUGACAAUAAUGCAAUCAACAUGGCAGGUAUUUUUGAAGUUUUAACAGUAGAUAGUACAUGCAGAAAUAAUACAUGUAGCAAAUGCAUCAUUGAUUCUGGCACAUCUAAACAUGUUAAUUCCAUAUUAAAUUUGUCUAUCAUAUUUGAUAAAUAUAAAAAGGGCAUUCUGGUGCACUAAUCUCUUGCUAUGUGCAGGGUACGGGCAAGGGCCCUACUCCAAGAUUCUAUUGUACGAAGCCUUUCCUUGAUAAAUA
Long non-coding RNA from Capsicum annuum, 806 nucleotides. RefSeq lists it as uncharacterized. NCBI's taxonomy places the organism in Eukaryota, Viridiplantae, Streptophyta, Magnoliopsida, Solanales, Solanaceae. The transcript is spliced from 3 exons. The record is from RefSeq and is a predicted model, not a curated record.